This 482-nucleotide ribosomal RNA is filed under the name uncultured bacterium. Its description in RNAcentral is "partial 16S ribosomal RNA". It matches the Rfam family "Bacterial small subunit ribosomal RNA", at positions 29 to 505 of the family's 1533-position model. The record is from RNAcentral.
AUUGAACGCUGGCGGCAUGCUUUACACAUGCAAGUCGAACGGCAGCGCGGGCUUCGGCCUGGCGGCGAGUGGCGAACGGGUGAGUAAUACAUCGGAACGUGCCCAGUAGUGGGGGAUAGCUCGGCGAAAGCCGGAUUAAUACCGCAUACGACCUGAGGGUGAAAGCGGGGGAUCUUCGGACCUCGCGCUAUUGGAGCGGCCGAUGGCAGAUUAGCUAGUUGGUGGGGUAAAGGCCUACCAAGGCGACGAUCUGUAGCUGGUCUGAGAGGACGACCAGCCACACUGGGACUGAGACACGGCCCAGACUCCUACGGGAGGCAGCAGUGGGGAAUUUUGGACAAUGGGCGAAAGCCUGAUCCAGCAAUGCCGCGUGUGUGAUGAAGGCCUUCGGGUUGUAAAGCACUCUUGGCGGGAACGAAAAGGACUGUGCCAAUACCACGGUUCGAUGACGGUACCCGCAGAAUAAGCACCGGCUAACUACG